Molecule: RNA transcript, 1601 nt
Organism: Capsicum annuum
Lineage: Eukaryota; Viridiplantae; Streptophyta; Magnoliopsida; Solanales; Solanaceae
Gene name: pseudouridine-5'-phosphate glycosidase
Exons: 13
Source: RefSeq, a predicted model, not a curated record
CCCCCCGCCCACACAACAAACACACACACAAAAAAAGUUAAACCCCUACGCCCACACACCAAACACACAAAAAAAGUUAAAAGACUCUGCUAAGUAGCCCGGCGGCCGGUGAUUUGACGUUCUGCGAGUAUUUGCGCAUUGAAUUUGCGAAAUCAAAGUGGUGUUAUUGAUAAUUAAUGGCUUCGGCUAAUUCUAGACUAUCAAUCCUUACGCGACACUUGACUUCAGCAUCAGCAACUUCUUCCUCUAAGGCCGGAUCUCAUGGUCAAAAUUUGGGGUGGAUUAAGAUGUCUCCGGAGGUUUCAGGAGCACUAAAAUGUGGUAGCCCGAUUGUUGCAUUAGAAUCCACCAUAAUAUCUCAUGGAAUGCCGUAUCCCCAGAAUUUCGAGACAGCGAAAGAGUUGGAGGUCAUUGUGAAGGAGAAUGGAGCUGUACCUGCCACUAUCGCUAUUCUGGAUGGUGUACCAUGCAUAGGCUUGACUACAGAAGAACUAGAGACUCUAGCUCGUCUUGGUAGCAAAGCUCGGAAAACUGCUAGUAGAGAUAUUGCAAUUGUUAUGGCAGGCAGGGAGAAUGGGGCAACUACUGUCUCUGCAACAAUGUAUCUUGCUUCGAAGGUUGGUAUUCCAGUAUUUGUCACUGGUGGUAUUGGAGGAGUGCAUAGACAUGGAGAGAACACAAUGGAUAUUUCUUCUGAUCUUACUGAGCUUGGAAAUACUCCUGUGGCUGUGAUUUCUGCUGGUAUAAAAUCGAUACUAGAUAUUCCUCGAACACUUGAAUAUUUGGAAACUCAAAGAGUUACUGUUGCAGCUUAUAAAACCGAUGAGUUCCCUGCUUUCUUCACACAAACCAGUGGCUGCAAGGCACCUGCUCGAGUAGAAUCACCAGAACAUUGCGCUCGAGUUAUUGAUGCAACCAUAAGACUUGAGCGGAAGAGUGGAAUCUUGAUAGCAGUCCCCAUUCCAAGGGAGCAUGCUGCUUCUGGAAGUUUGAUUGAGUUGGCAAUACAACAAGCUCUCCAAGAAGCACGAGAGAAGAAGAUUAUUGGCAAUGCUGAAACUCCAUUCUUGCUUGCAAGGGUCAAUGAACUUACUGGUGGAGCAUCUCUGGCUUCAAUUUUAAGACAUUGCCCUUGUGAAAAAUAAUGCCAGUGUCGGUGCUAAAAUUGCUGUUUCGCUUGCCCAGCUUCAAAAACAUAGGCGAUAAAAGGCUGUAAUUCUCGUAUAUCCUACCCAUUCGAUUAAGAUUGUAACUGCAAAUAAGCUAGAGUUAAGGUGCACGGGAUCUUACGGUCUAGCCUUAUGGUCUAGCCGCUGAACCUCCACAUCUUCACGACGGAUUCAAUUUCACCGGGUCCAUGUCGGUUCCUUUUGUAUCAACUCAGCUAAGCAUUUCAUUCUCUUUGAGUUUGAAGGAAGCAUUGGCCUUGACAAAUAGUAAAAAUAGCACUGCAUAUGGAGCAGAAACGGUGUUCAAAAGUAGAAUGAAAAAUUUUGAGUCAUGUAACAUGAAGUUGUACCCAUUGCACUAACAUGGCACAGUAACUUUAACUUUAUUUGCAUUAGAAAAAGUACAUCAUUCUUACAUAACCAAAACAAAAA